UACGGAAGGAGCGCGCGUCCCCGCGCCCGGGGCCCCGCAGCAGGGGCGGCCAGGGCUCUUCUGCCCUGGAGGCCCGGCUACUCACCCCAACGAUGUCCCUAGGCGAGCUAGCCGUUGGCUCGGACGCUCUUCCGCUUGCUGCGCUGUCUCCUCGUAGCCGUAGCCGCCGUCCUCGCCGCCGCCGCCGCCGUCGCGGCGCGCGCCCGCCUUUACGCACACCGCCGUGGCCGCGCACGCGUCUCUGCGCGCUGGCGUCACUUAGCAACCGAGGCUGUGGUACCUGGGAGCCGGAGAUCUAAGGUUCCUUGAUCCUCUCCCGCGGUUCUGCGGCUUCUCCUUCACGCGCGCGACCCCGCGGCCCCUCCUCAGCAGGGACCUCGGCGUGUGGCCCCUAGGUCGGCCCCCAGCUCCGGGUAAGCGCCUCACCACGCGUCACCAUAUUGCGUCACCGGCGCGGUGCGUGUCACUAGAGAUGGGAAGGUCCAGCGUGCCUGUGGAGAGAGCAGUGUCGUCGUGCAGUCGGACACGGCCUGAUCAGCAGCUUAUGCGAUGUGCAAAGAGGUUCUCCGAGCACUUGGACCUGAAGCAGCUGGAUGCAGCUGAUGCCGAGGCAGCAAAGUGUGAUGGAGCAACACUUGAAUCCCUCCUGACUUUCAGUUCCCUUAUUCUUAUCAACUCUAAGAGCAGAGGCAACUACUCUGAAGAUGACAAGAUGUGACCGGCGCAGCUCCCCAGUGAGACAGGAAACACUUCAGGUAAACCACAUGUACAUGUGUAAGAACGCGCCUCGCAACAUUAUUUGCAAUUUAAAAAAAUGGAAACAAUGAGAGAGUCGGUCAAUAAUGAAUAAAUGAGUUGUGAGACAUCUGUGCAACAGAAUACUAUUCAGUUAUAUAAAUGAACUACUCCUAUAAGUAUUGAUCUAUAAGAUGUAAUUGAUGUAUUAGUAAGAAAAAAAGCUAGAUGCUAAGCACAGUAUAGGACCUGAUAUCAUAUUUGUGGGGAAAAAAAGGAAGAAAUGUAUUAGUUUCCUCUGCAACAGCGUAAAACAAUAUACAUUUACCCUCCUACUGCUCUAAAGACUGGAAAUCCAACGUUCUGAAAGAGUGAAAGAUAUAUUAUUUGCUGUGCAGCAAAGAUGUCUAAAGUGCCAAGUAACCGGAACCCGCUCCUCCAAUGGAGUCUGCUUUCCUGAAGUCUGUAUAUGGCGUGGUCCACCCAUCAGCUACAAGUCAGAGCCCAGGAGAACCAUCCGCGAGCACAGGUUACCCAGAAAGCAUCUUCAUGUCUACAAGCCUGUUCAGGAAGCCACGUUUAACUUGGCUGUGGACACCUGGGCUACCAAAGAGCACUUGACAGUGACUGGGUUCAUCUCUGGCUAGCAGAAGCCUACUGGCCUUUCACCUCUGAUAUCAGGGAUGCUGUCUGCCAGACUUUUGCAGAAAUUUGCCAGCAUCCACAGUUCCUUCCCAAACAAUUAACCUCACCAAGAUUCAAGUGCCCGUGAAGAACUUACUCAAGCUGUACGACAGUGGGGACCCUGGUGACCUGAUACCAGAGGGCUGGUUUACUAGAUUGAACUCCAUGUUCUGAGCUGUCAAUUUUUUUUCUCUCUCUCUUUUUUUUUUUUUUUUUUUUUUUUUUGCCUUUUUCCUUUUUAUCAGUACCAGGGAUCGAACUCACGACUGCCUGCUUACAAGGCAGGCGCUUAUGCCGCUGAGCUAAGUCCCCAGCCCCCGAGCUGUCAAUUUUUAAUGCAUUGGAAAUUAAAUAUAUGGGAAAAUUUGUAGUUGAAUUUACCUUACUCUGUCAACAGUAAGCUGUAAAAACAGAACUAUGACACAUUUUUAAAAGUAAGCAGAGCAUUUUAUGUCACAGAAUUCCUUAAACCAAUUUAUUCUUAGUUGAUAAUGGAUCUAAUUUUUUCUUGAAAAGGUGUGAUUUUUUAAUAGACUACAGACACAUCGAUCAGAUAUCUAUGAUUAAUCGAAAACCAAAAUAAAUACAUUUUAUUAUAUCUCCAUCUUCGAGUAUGUUUUCUGAAAACUGUAGUAACAUAUAUUGACAGCAAUACUUUUAUAAUAUUUCUACAGGUCUCUUCCACUUGAGCAAAUUUCAAAGUAUUUUCAAAAUAGUUGCUUACACAUGUAGAAUUUCACAUCAUUGUGAUUAUUUCUACAUUUUUGACAAUAACCAGGUAUUUGACAAUAACUGUGUUCCCUCAUUUCGUACAUAGGCUUUGACCACCAUGCAACAUCAUCUCUGCCGUAUAUAUUUCUUAAAACAAAAGUAAGGUGUAAAUGACUUGAUCCCCCCUGCACACGCAUACUUGGGAGGAAAAAGGUACCAAUAAAAGUCCCUCCCAUGGUUAAGAGGUAAAGCAACACCAAACUGCAAAGAGGUUUUCAUAAAAGUACAAUUAAUUUAGGGGAUUUUGUUUCUUAGAAUUUGAUGUGCCAAAGAGACUAAUAAUGCUGAAGGACUUUAAGCUCAGAAGGAAUUUUGUUUAACAGUUUUAAAUAGAAUUUAAACAGAAUUCUGUAUUCUAUAACAAAACACAUACUAUUCCUUGGACAAGAAACAGUGAAAAGGGGACUAUUCUUGUCCAAAGAAUAUCUGCAAAACUCAGUCACACGCUUGCCCACAGAAAUUAAAAAUAAACACACACAUAGUGUAUGCUUUCUAGCUACAAUGCAAUAGAACUAGAAUUAAUAUUUUAAAAGGUGGCAAGAGCUGGAGAUGUAGCUCAGUUUUACAGCCUGUGGUGAGCGUGGGCGAGGCUCUGGGUUCCAUCUCCAGCUCGGAAAAAUUACAGCAAAUCCAGAAGUAUUUAACUCGAAUUGUUACUAGCAGGCAUUCCAAAAUGAAAAGAGAUACCAGCUGCAGGAUGAAACCGGUAUUGGAGUUCGCGGUGAAGAGACAGAAAGAGCCUGGGCCGCAGGGAUGACACUUUCACUUGAAUCGUACCAACUGAAAUGGAGCCAUACUUUGUCUGCACCCAAGUUACGAGUUACGCGAACCUUUAAUUUCCUUGUUAUUUAAAUCUUCUUGGCUUCCAGCCGGAAGCAUUCGAUCCCAUGCCAUCAGGUUAAAAUCUUGUCAUUCUUUUAUUUCAAUUAUUUAUGUUAGAACUUGAAAUAGUAUUUCAUAUAGCUUUUCAAUAUGUCUAGUAUUUACUGAGCCAGACAUCAUUUCAUUUGAUAACUAUUAUGAGAGAAAUAAUAAUAGAUGGCACUAUUACCUGGCUGAAACUGUUCUAAGCAUUUUUACACAUAUUAACUCAUUGCAUGUCCUCGGCAAUACCAUGAGAUAAGAUAUGUUAUUCUCUUCAUUAUAUAAUAACAUUUAACUCCAGCCCAGUUCAAGGGAAAACAGAAUUCUCCAGUGCUAUGCUGUCCAUUACACUAGCCACCUGUGGCCACUGAACACUUGAGAUGUGGUCUAAAUGUGACGGUGUGCAUACCAGAUUUGAAAGGCUUUGUAUGAAUAAAAUAACACGAAGCCAGGCGUGGUGGCUCAUGCCUGUAAUCCCAGAACUCAGGAGGACCAUUGCAAGUUCAAGACCAGCCUGGGCUACAUAGUGAGCUGAGGGCCAGUUUGAACUGCAUAGCGAAACCUUGUCUACACACACACACACACACACACACACACACACACAAACAAAGAGGAAUACAAAAUAUCUUGGAAGUGUACUAAACUGAUUAUCUGUUUAAGAUAUUUUGGAUAUAUUGUCUUAAAACAUGGUGAAAGUUAAAUUUAUUUUUGACAUCUUCCUAUGCUUUCUUUAAAAAAAAAAGUCAUAUGCAUGGCUCGUUUUAUGUUGCUUUUGGACAGUGCUAUACUAUUGUGGUGCAGUGCUGGGCCAGCCGGAGCAGCUUCGUUUAGAAACUAAAUAAAAAAUCUGAAUGAAAACCUCGGGGUGACGCCCUGAAAACCUCGGGGUGACGCAAGCCCUCUGCGUGUGUGUGUGUGUGUGUGUGUGUGUGUGUGUGUGUGUGUGUGUAAUGAAAUCUCCAUUGGGCUAUAAAUCACUUGUUUAAAGUAGUUUGUUCCAUAGGGUUGUGCAAACAUCUAACUUGAAACAUUUGCAUCACCACAAAAAGAAAUCUCACUGCCGUUGUCCGUCACUCUCCGCACUCCCCACGCCAUGCCCUCCGCCCCAGGCGAUGGAUACUCUCAGUCUGGAGAAUUCACAGGAAUGGAAUCCCGCGAUGUGCAGGCUCUUGUGACUUGUGGCUUCUGCACUGACCACCCUGUUUCCUUCUGUGGCCUUGCUAAGUUGUGAAAACCGCUGCUUUAGGUAGAAAUGGAGAUGAAGCAGCCGCCGAGCUCCUGAAAAACAAAGGGUAUUUAAAAAAAAUACCCUGAUCAUAAAAGAAAAAGAGAACUCAGAAAGACAGACAGCAAAAGGUGAUUAAGCUUUUCAUGUGAGAAAAUAAGCUAUUAGGGCUGGGGGUUUAGCUUAGCGGCAUAAGCACCUGCCUUGCAAGCAGGCGGUCGUGAGUUCAAUCUCCGGUACCGAUAAAAAUGAAAAAGACAAAAAAAAAAAAAAAAAAAAAAAAAAAAAAAAAAGAAAAUAAGCUAUUUACUUUUGUUCCAAAAGUCUAGGAUGACAUGGAGGCCAAAUACAGGUAUACAUGAAUUAUAUUUCUGGCUUUGCUCUAUAACAGUUUUAAUCUUUAUAAACUCCUUAUGUUACCCAGAAAAUGAUAGUUAAAGCUAUGACAGUGGUGACAUUACCAAAGUGGGGAAACUAGGGCAAGAAAAGGCUGGCACUGAGAAGAGAAUGUUGGGAGACACAUCCUAGGCGGUUUACAAAAGGGUUCAUGUUCAUUUCCCCCCUGAAAUCUAGCCAUACCCCUGUGGGGAAGUGGUCACUGUCACCCUGUUAGCGCACAGCUGGUGGAUCACAGUUAACAUCACCAGUGGUGUAUCCACAGCACAUCCCCUUGAUGUGAAAAAUCCCCUUUUUCCUGGAGGUCUUCCCUCUUUUAAAACUGGUUACUUUAAGGU
This 5013-nucleotide long non-coding RNA is filed under the name Cavia porcellus (domestic guinea pig). RNAcentral describes it as "lncRNA (ENSCPOG00000039067.1)". The stretch from base 4452 to 4515 matches the Rfam family "tRNA". Lineage: Eukaryota; Metazoa; Chordata; Mammalia; Rodentia; Caviidae. The record is from RNAcentral.